This 436-nucleotide long non-coding RNA is filed under the name Vombatus ursinus (common wombat). Its description in RNAcentral is "lncRNA (ENSVURG00010002787.1)". The record is from RNAcentral. Lineage: Eukaryota; Metazoa; Chordata; Mammalia; Diprotodontia; Vombatidae.
GUCUCCUCGGCCGGCGGGGACUCAGCUCAGCGCGCCGCCGCCGCCGGCUCAGCGGAUUUUGUUUUUGCACUGAAUGUAGCCUGGAUUGAUCCUCACGGGCUUCAGGAGCCCAGGGAUACUAUCAAAGGUGGGACAUGAAGAUUUGGUAAUGGAAGGGCAUGGCAAGACUCCGCCUCCUGGUGAAGAAAGCCAACAGCUCAACCCUCAGGGCCAUCUCGUGGGAUGAGGCCUGCUGCUGCUCCAGCGCCAGCCAGCGCUCUCUUCAUUUCCUGGCACGCUGUGUGUGCAGCAGAAACGUACCUCCCGACCCUCCCGGGAAGCCCAGUCUCUUCCGUACAGCGAGAGAGCGCAGUAGCCUAGGAGCAGGUAGGGCUGGGCCGGCUGGCAGCCACGUCCUCUGCCGCUGUCUCGCUUUACCCUUUUUCCCUUUUUCAGC